Molecule: ribosomal RNA, 1830 nt
Filed under: Triticum aestivum (bread wheat)
Lineage: Eukaryota; Viridiplantae; Streptophyta; Magnoliopsida; Poales; Poaceae
Description: partial small subunit ribosomal RNA
Source: RNAcentral
AUGGCCCAUUACACUAUCAAGCGACGCCGAGUCUUAGGUGUUCUAGCUGUUAUGUUGGCCAUUUUCCGAUGGCGUCGACGACGUAGAAAUUACAGUAUUAGAAUGUCUCGAAGAAAAUAUGGGCCAUUGGUGGAUAGAGACUUGGAGAGGCAAAGAAAGUUGAAUGACCUGUACAAUUCAACAGAUAAAAACUGCAUCAGUCAGCUCCGGAUGAGGAAAGACGUGUUUUGGAAGCUAUCAGCCCAUUUACGUGAUGCCAAACUUGUACGUGAUUCAGUGCAUGUAUCAGUUGAAGAAAAAUUAGCCAUUUUCCUGCAUACGGUUGGCCACAAUUUGAGAAAUAGAGUGGUCGGGUUUUUCCUCAGGAGAUCUAGCUAUACAGUAAGCAAAUGCUUCCAUGAGGUCUUGAAUGCCUUGUGUUUUCUUGCCAAAGAUAUGAUAAAGCUUAGGUCGAUAGAGACCCACCAAAAGAUACUUGAUAGCCCCGGUCGGUUCUACCCCUACUUUAAGGACUGCAUUGGGGCACUUGAUGGAACCCACAUCCCUGCAUUUGUCCCUGAGAACAUAGCUAACAGAUUUCGAGGUCGGAAGUCAUACCCAACCCAAAAUGUCCUUGCAGUUGUGGAUUUUGAUUUGAGGUUUACCUAUGUACUUGCUGGGUGGGAGGGAUCUACUCAUGACUCUGUAGUUCUGAAGGCUGCCCUUAACAGAACAAAUGGGAUUCCAAUGCCAGAAGGCAAAUAUUACUUAGCUGAUGCUGGGUAUGCAGCAAGACCUGUUCAUAAAAUGGAUGAAGCUGAAAGCAAUAUGAGCAGUAAGGGGAAAGAAUGCAAAGGUGACAAGAAUGCAAGGGCAAAAGCUAUAAAUUGGCCUAUAGCUAUAUCUGAGUUUCUUCUUGACUGGUACAUUGAGAAGAAGAUUGAAAUGCCUCCUAAAGCAGUAUUCAAGAAGAUGCAUCACAAUGCUUGCACAGCAGCAAUAAAUAAGAAGUAUGGGUGUUCUUAUAGUGUCGAGCAAGUUCAUCGUCACUUUAGGCGUCAUAAGGAGACAUGGGGGCUAGUGGCUAGGUACAGCAAUGAGAGUGGCAGCGGUUUUGAUGAUGUCAACAAACAAGUGCUGCUCUCUCAAUCUACUCUGGAUACACUAUCGGCCAAUGAUCGUGGAAUUCUGUGUAAACCGAUUCAGUUCUACGACAAGUUGCAAGACCCUUUCUCUGCAGCUGAAACUGACAAUGAUGAUAAGGCAAAAGAUGACAUGAUGAAUGAUAUGUCCACCUAUGAUGAAGCAAAGGGUCCAACAGGUCAUGACUCAGAUAAAUUAGAUACAGAUAGUGAUGAUUGUGAAGUGGUGGCUGCUCUUGCUGCAACUAAUAGUCAAGUUUCAUCAUCCAAUGUUGGUGCUCUAAAGCCUAACAAGAAAACUAAAAAGUCAAAGGCGAGAUCAUCUCAAGCAUCACAGGAUGACACUGAUAUGGAUGUGCUGCUCACAAGUACCUUGAUAGGCAUACGAGAGACCCUUGCAAGUCCAGUACAGACUGUAGCCCCAAAGGACCCAAAUGCUCCUUUAUGGGACAUGCUCAAGAAGAUUCCAUUGCCACCUGAUGAGAGGAUGUCGGUCGGGAUGCAUCUAUGCAAGCCAGAAUUUGCAGUUCAUCGUGGUUUCCUUGUCAGCAUGGGUCAGGAAUGCCUGGAGCGUUGGGUGUACACAUACUUAUCCGACAAUGAUCCUACUGGCAAACGUGGUGGCGAUGGUCCUGCUGGUAACCUUGGCGACGAUGGUCCGGCUGGUGACCUUGGUGAUGAUGCUGCAGUUAACUCCAGUACUUUCUAA